This 910-nucleotide ribosomal RNA is filed under the name Bacillus subtilis. RNAcentral describes it as "bacterial SSU rRNA". It matches the Rfam family "Bacterial small subunit ribosomal RNA", at positions 56 to 947 of the family's 1533-position model. The record is from RNAcentral. Lineage: Bacteria; Bacillati; Bacillota; Bacilli; Caryophanales; Bacillaceae.
UGCAAGUCGAGCGGACAGAUGGGAGCUUGCUCCCUGAUGUUAGCGGCGGACGGGUGAGUAACACGUGGGUAACCUGCCUGUAAGACUGGGAUAACUCCGGGAAACCGGGGCUAAUACCGGAUGGUUGUUUGAACCGCAUGGUUCAAACAUAAAAGGUGGCUUCGGCUACCACUUACAGAUGGACCCGCGGCGCAUUAGCUAGUUGGUGAGGUAACGGCUCACCAAGGCAACGAUGCGUAGCCGACCUGAGAGGGUGAUCGGCCACACUGGGACUGAGACACGGCCCAGACUCCUACGGGAGGCAGCAGUAGGGAAUCUUCCGCAAUGGACGAAAGUCUGACGGAGCAACGCCGCGUGAGUGAUGAAGGUUUUCGGAUCGUAAAGCUCUGUUGUUAGGGAAGAACAAGUACCGUUCGAAUAGGGCGGUACCUUGACGGUACCUAACCAGAAAGCCACGGCUAACUACGUGCCAGCAGCCGCGGUAAUACGUAGGUGGCAAGCGUUGUCCGGAAUUAUUGGGCGUAAAGGGCUCGCAGGCGGUUUCUUAAGUCUGAUGUGAAAGCCCCCGGCUCAACCGGGGAGGGUCAUUGGAAACUGGGGAACUUGAGUGCAGAAGAGGAGAGUGGAAUUCCACGUGUAGCGGUGAAAUGCGUAGAGAUGUGGAGGAACACCAGUGGCGAAGGCGACUCUCUGGUCUGUAACUGACGCUGAGGAGCGAAAGCGUGGGGAGCGAACAGGAUUAGAUACCCUGGUAGUCCACGCCGUAAACGAUGAGUGCUAAGUGUUAGGGGGUUUCCGCCCCUUAGUGCUGCAGCUAACGCAUUAAGCACUCCGCCUGGGGAGUACGGUCGCAAGACUGAAACUCAAAGGAAUUGACGGGGGCCCGCACAAGCGGUGGAGCAUGUGGUUU